GCUGUCGCUUAUAGAUGGACCCGCGCCGUAUUAGCUAGUUGGUAAGGUAACGGCUUACCAAGGCAACGAUACGUAGCCGACCUGAGAGGGUGAUCGGCCACACUGGAACUGAGACACGGUCCAGACUCCUACGGGAGGCAGCAGUAGGGAAUCUUCCGCAAUGGGCGAAAGCCUGACGGAGCAACGCCGCGUGAGUGAUGAAGGUCUUAGGAUCGUAAAACUCUGUUGUUAGGGAAGAACAAAUUUGUUAGUAACUGAACAAGUCUUGACGGUACCUAACCAGAAAGCCACGGCUAACUACGUGCCAGCAGCCGCGGUAAUACGUAGGUGGCAAGCGUUAUCCGGAAUUAUUGGGCGUAAAGCGCGCGUAGGCGGUUUCUUAAGUCUGAUGUGAAAGCCCACGGCUCAACCGUGGAGGGUCAUUGGAAACUGGGGAACUUGAGUGCAGAAGAGGAGAGUGGAAUUCCAUGUGUAGCGGUGAAAUGCGCAGAGAUAUGGAGGAACACCAGUGGCGAAGGCGGCUCUCUGGUCUGUAACUGACGCUGAUGUGCGAAAGCGUGGGGAUCAACCAGGAAAGGGAUACCCUGGUAGUCCACGCCGUAAACGAUCCUCCAAAGGGUAGGGGGUUUCCGCCCCUUAGUGCUGCAGCUAACGCAUUAAGCACUCCGCCUGGGGAGUACGACCGCAAGGUUGAAACUCAAAGAAUUGAGGGGGCACCCGCACAGGGGGGGGAGCAUGUGUUUUAUUAGAAGCAACGCGAAGAACCUUACCAAAUCUUGACAUCCUUUGACCGCUCUAGAGAUAGAGUUUUCCCCUUCGGGGGACAAAGUGACAGGUGGUGCAUGGUUGUCGUCAGCUCGUGUCGUGAGAUGUUGGGUUAAGUCCCGCAACGAGCGCAACCCUUAAGCUUAGUUGCCAUCAUUAAGUUGGGCACUCUAGGUUGACUGCCGGUGACAAACCGGAGGAAGGUGGGGAUGACGUCAAAUCAUCAUGCCCCUUAUGAUUUGGGCUACACACGUGCUACAAUGGAUAAUACAAAGGGCAGCGAACCCGCGAGGUCAAGCAAAUCCCAUAAAAUUAUUCUCAGUUCGGAUUGUAGUCUGCAACUCGACUACAUGAAGCUGGAAUCGCUAGUAAUCGUAGAUCAGCAUGCUACGGUGAAUACGUUCCCGGGUCUUGUACACACCGCCCGUCACACCACGAGAGUUUGUAACACCCGAAGCCGGUGGAGUAACAUUUUAUUAGGAGCUAGCCGUCGAAGGUGGGACAGAUGAUUAGGGUGAAGUCGUAACAAGGUAACC
Molecule: ribosomal RNA, 1301 nt
Filed under: uncultured bacterium
Lineage: Bacteria
Description: bacterial SSU rRNA
Rfam family: Bacterial small subunit ribosomal RNA
Source: RNAcentral